UCCGUAGGCGGGCAGCUCAGUCAGUGGUGAAAGUUUGCAGCUCAACUGCAAAAUUGCCAUUGAUACUGGUUGUCUUGAAUUAAUGUGAAGUGGUUAGAAUAUGUAGUGUAGCGGUGAAAUGCAUAGAUAUUACAUGGAAUACCAAUUGCGAAGGCAGAUCACUAACAUUAUAUUGACGCUGAUGGACGAAAGCGUGGGGAGCGAACAGGAUUAGAUACCCUGGUAGUCC
Molecule: ribosomal RNA, 229 nt
Filed under: uncultured bacterium
Lineage: Bacteria
Description: partial 16S ribosomal RNA
Rfam family: Bacterial small subunit ribosomal RNA
Source: RNAcentral